This 4075-nucleotide long non-coding RNA is filed under the name Homo sapiens (human). Its description in RNAcentral is "long intergenic non-protein coding RNA 667". The record is from RNAcentral. Lineage: Eukaryota; Metazoa; Chordata; Mammalia; Primates; Hominidae.
AGAGACGGCUUUUGGCCACCUUUGAGAAUCAGGGUCAAACUUGGAAGGGCCUGCAUUUGUCACACUUCCUCGGACACUAAUUUGGAUAGUUCAGGCCCAGAGACGGCUUCCCGGGUUAGUGUGCCUGACAACACUGAAGAAAAAUUGUGACAUUUUCCUUCCCCAGAAUUACUUCGUUUUAUACAUUUCACUUCUCUUCUGAAAUCACAGCAAUGCCAGUUUGCGCCUUUUGGUCUGAGGAACGCAGGCCCUGGCCACUACCAGGAAAAAGUACACAAGGCUUGCUUGUAGAGAUGGAGUUACAUGGAGGGACAGAAGGUCACUGGUCAGUGAUUUUAGGUUUUUAUACUUCUGAAAACAGAACCUUCUGGAUUUCAGCUUUGGCAAGCUUCCUCUGUUUCUGAGACACCUCCAUCACCUGGGUUACAAUCCCAUCCAUGAUUUUCCCCAUCUCCAGGCAUUUUUCAUGGAAAGCUCCUCAUGCUUUUUAAUUCCAGUUUAUCCAUUUGUGUGGCUUUAACCUCCACAUCCAGGUCUUUCUGGCUAAACUGCAGUAUAUCCACAAUGGGGCCAAUGGACACAUAAGGGAGGCCCUAUCACAGGAACACGAACACCCGGAGUCGCUAGAAAUCAGAUUCCACCGGCUUUGCUUCAGGCCGACUUCCUAAGGAAGGCAUGGUAGCAUCACAGAUGCUGUUUGUCUCAGUUUCCUGAGAAGCCAGUUUCUUAGAGCUGUCAUUCAAGAGUGGGUCAAAUUUGAGAUAUAAAAACCUUUCUCAAGGUAGACUCUUUGGCCCCUAUGCCUAGUAUGUCAGCUGGGCCUCUGAAGCUCUCCUCUUUGAGGUCCUGGCAGGCUCUGGCCCCUGUUGAGAAGGGGAAGCAGUCAUGUGAACUCAUGUGCUGGAAGAAUCCACUCUACCCCUUCCCUGGCUUCUCUGCUGCAAUUUUUGUCUUUAAACGUAUUUUCAGAUCCUUUGCACAUGGCCUGCUAUCAACAAUCCUCUACAAUGAUUCUCAGCAUCACCUAGGGAGCUUAUGUAAAAUCUCAAAUUCCUGGGCCCUAUCCCCAGAGUUUCUUAUCAAGUAAGUCUGCAUUGGGAUCUGAGGAUUUGCAUCUCUAACAAAAAUUCCUAGGCGAUGCUCACACUGUUGGUGUAAGGUUUCCUUGAUGGAGAACUAUCAAAGCAGUCAAAGCUAUCAAAAUAAAAAAGAAUUCUGAUUGGGUGCAGUGGCUCACACCUGUCAUUCCAGCACUUUGAGAGGCCAAGGUGGGCAGAUCACAUGAGGCCAGGAGUUCAAGACCAGCCUGGCCAACAUGGCAGAAACCCCAUCUCUACUAAAAAUACCAAAAUUAGCCGGGCAUGGUGGAACACACCUGCAAUCCCAGCUACUCGGGAGGCUGAGGCAAGAGAAUCGCUUGAACCUGGGAGGCAGAAGUUGCAGUGAAACAAGUUGGUGCCAAUGCAUUCCAGCCUGGAUGAUGGAGCGAGACUCUGUCUCAAGAAAAAAAAAACAAAAACAAAAACAGAACUCUGCCUCAUAGCGUCUUUUAAGUUAUACACUGGACCUAUCCUUUCCUCACUGACAGACAUUUUAAAAAUUUUUUGGUAAGGCCUAGUUCAUAUAAAAUGUAAUCCAAGCCAAAAGUUAACAAGAAUAAGGGGAGGAAAGGGGACUCCAAUAGCAGAGAAAGGUAUUUACCUGGGAUAUACACUGCAAGAAAAUCAAAGCUAUAAGAAACGUCCAUGAAUAGUAGCCAUAAGGCAUCAGAGUGAUAAAAUUCCUGUCCCUAGGAGGGAAUAUUGGAGUUUGCCAGAGAAACAGAAUGAGAGAGACAGAGAGGUUUAUUGUAGGAAUUGGCUCAUAUGAUUACGGAGGCUGAGAAGACCCACGAUCUGCCAUCUGCAAGCUGGAGAAUCAGGAAAGCUGGAGGUGUAAUUCAGUCAAGUCCAAUGGCCAGAGAAGCAAGUGUACUGAUAUCCAAGAGCAGGAGAAAAUAGAUGUCCCAGAACAAGCAGAGAGGCUGAUUUUGUCCUUCCUCUGCCUUUUUGUUUCAUAUGGGGCACUGAAUGGACUGAUGCCCAUCCACAUUAGUGAGGGUGGAUCUUCUUUACUCAGUCUACCAGUAGAAAUGUCAAUGACUUCCAGAAACACCCUCACCAACACACGUGGAAAUAAUGUUUUACCAGGUAUCUGGGCAUCCCUUGGUUCACUCAAGUUGACACAAAAUUAACCAUCACAGAAGGAGACUGGCCUUACUCUGAAAUUAGGAAACUAAAGAAGUGACCAGAAUGGAGACUAGGUAGAGACAACUAGUUCUCUACCAAACAUGUACAGUUAUUCGUUGGUAUCUGAAGGGGAUUGGUUCCAGGAACUCUCAGGGAUACCAAAAUCUGCAGGUGCUCAAGUCAUUUAUAUAAAAUAUUACAGUAUUUGCAUAUAACCUUUGCACAUCUUCCAUAUACUUUAAAUCAUCUCUACAUUACUUAUAAUAAUGAAUGUGUAAAUGCUAUGAAAAUAGUUACUACACUAUUGUUUAUUUGUAUUUUUAUUGAAUUGUUUUGGGGUGGGGGGCAGCUGUAUCUUUCUUAGUAAUAGAACCCCUGGUUUUAGCUGGGCACAUGACUGCCCUCAAUAAAGAUUAAAGUACCCCAGCCUUCCUUGAGAUUGUGGCCAUGUGACUGAACUUUAGACAGUGAGAUAUAAGCAGAUAUCUUCUGUGGCAGUGUUAGGAAACUAUUAAAGACAGUAAGAACAUUGCCCUUUGCCUUCUUUUUCCUUUCUUCAUUUUUCUGCCUGGAAUGCAAAUGUGAUGGCUAACACCCUAGCAGCCAUUUUAGAUUAUGAAGAUGAGAGUCACUCCCCAGGAAGGGUGGACCUGAAAGCUGGAUUCUAGAUGUGGAAUGACAAUACCAGCCCUGGACUACCUACCUGUAGGCUGUGUGUGUGUGUGUGUGAUUGACAGAGAGAGAGAGAGAUAGAUACCACAAGUAACACAAAGCAUCAUACCUGGGACUGGGAAGGUUAAUGUUUAAACAUUUUAAAUGUGGCAUUGGUUUGUUGAAGACAGUCAAGCAGUAGGUGCUGCAGGCUUUGUUGAGGCUAGAAAGCUGUUGGUCUUUAUUAGGUGAUGGCAAAACAAUGGAUCACAUUUUCAUGUGCUGUGUCUUGGGAGGCAAAUGAUGAGAAUGUAGGAUUGGGGAAAAUGGUAAGGAAAAUCCAAAAUGUUCAUGUUUUCUAACCCCUUCUUGCCAAUCUUAAAAGAAGGACAAACAGGCUAGAUUAAGCAAGUCUACAGUUACAAUUGGAAGGAAACACAGCCGUACUAAGGAAGUACUCUGUCUGUGGCCUGCAGUCUAGUUUGACUAGGUCCUGUAUUUGAGCUUUGAAAGAGUAAAGAAUACAAGUGCUCGUAUACCCCUGAAGUAGUUACCAGCAGUGACUGCAAGGAGGUAAUCUUAUGGGAUGAAACUAUAACUCUGUAUUAACCAUCAUAUAUAGCAUAUAUGUGUAUAUGUAUGUGUGUGUGUGUAUAUGUGUAUAUAAAUAUAUGUGUGUGUAUAUACACACAUGUACACACCCUACAACCCAGUGAUUUCAAAAAAUUAAACAUUUGUUUAGCUCAUGAAUCUGUGGGUUGGGUGAACAUUUCUAUUGGUCUUGGCUGGGCUCACCUGUACCCAGUCAGCUGCAGGGUCUAGCUCUUCUUAUCUUGGCUGGGAUCUCACACAUGUCUAGGAUCAGCUGCUUUACUAGUCUAGGAUUGUCUUGGCUGAGACAGGUGGACUACUCAGUUCUCCUCCACUGCCUUAUCCUUCAGCUGGCCAGCCCAGAAAUGUUGCCAUGUUUACAGCAUAAGAGCAAGCAAGAAAGAAUAAUAUGCAACCACUUUUCCAAGCCUAAGGUGAAAGGGCGGGCAGAACCUGUGGUGUUAGGAGGCAACUCAUACCAGCCCAUGGGUCUACCGUUUAAUUUUCAGAAAUUUGGCAAGCUGAUUGUUAACACAGCUGUUGUUUAAUUUAUGUACUUGUAAUUAAAUAAUUUACAUUAAAACAAAGAUAAUAGGUACUCAAAA